Molecule: ribosomal RNA, 459 nt
Filed under: uncultured bacterium
Lineage: Bacteria
Description: partial 16S ribosomal RNA
Rfam family: Bacterial small subunit ribosomal RNA
Source: RNAcentral
CCUACGGGUGGCAGCAGUGAGGAAUAUUGGUCAAUGGGCGCGAGCCUGAACCAGCCAAGUAGCGUGAAGGAUGACUGCCCUACGGGUUGUAAACUUCUUUUAUAAAGGAAUAAAGUGAGGCACGUGUGCCUUUUUGUAUGUACUUUAUGAAUAAGGAUCGGCUAACUCCGUGCCAGCAGCCGCGGUAAUACGGAGGAUCCGAGCGUUAUCCGGAUUUAUUGGGUUUAAAGGGAGCGUAGAUGGGUUGUUAAGUCAGUUGUGAAAGUUUGCGGCUCAACCGUAAAAUUGCAAUUGAUACUGACAACCUUGAGUACAGUUGAGGUAGGCGGAAUUCGUGGUGUAGCGGUUAAAUGCCUAGAUAUCACCAAGAACUCCGAUUGCGAAGGCAGCUUACUAAACCUGCACUGACAUUGAUGCUCGAAAGUGUGGGUAUCAAACAGGAUUAGAUACCCGAGUAGU